RNAcentral lists this ribosomal RNA (253 nucleotides) under uncultured bacterium. Its description in RNAcentral is "partial 16S ribosomal RNA". It matches the Rfam family "Bacterial small subunit ribosomal RNA", at positions 524 to 776 of the family's 1533-position model. The record is from RNAcentral.
UACAGAGGGGGCAAGCGUUGUUCGGAAUUACUGGGCGUAAAGGGCGCGUAGGCGGCCUGUUAAGUCGGACGUGAAAUCCCUCGGCUCAACCGGGGAACUGCGUCUGAUACUGGCGGGCUUGAAUUCGGGAGAGGGAUGUGGAAUUCCAGGUGUAGCGGUGAAAUGCGUAGAUAUCUGGAGGAACACCGGUGGCGAAGGCGACUAUCUGGACGGCACCUGACGCUGAGGCGCGAAAGCCAGGGGAGCAAACGGG